Trichonephila inaurata madagascariensis is the source of this 73-nucleotide non-coding RNA. Lineage: Eukaryota; Metazoa; Arthropoda; Arachnida; Araneae; Nephilidae. The record is from the annotation of a GenBank genome assembly.
GGGAGCGUAGCUCAGAUGGUAGAGCACUCGCUUAUCCUGCGAGAUGUAUGGGGAUUGAUACCCCGCACCUCCA